CCUACGGGCUGCAGCAGUAGGGAAUCUUCCGCAAUGGACGAAAGUCUGACGGAGCAACGCUGCGUGAGUGAUGAAGGCUUUCGGGUCGUAAAACUCUGUUGUUAGGGAAGAACAAGUGCUAGUUGAAUAAGCUGGCACCUUGACGGUACCUAACCAGAAAGCCACGGCUAACUACGUGCCAGCAGCCGCGGUAAUACGUAGGUGGCAAGCGUUAUCCGGAAUUAUUGGGCGUAAAGCGCGCGCACGUGGUUUCUUAAGUCUGAUGUGAAAGCCCACGGCUCAACCGUGGAGGGUCAUUGGAAACUGGCAGACUUGAGCGCAGAAGAGGAAAGUGGAAUUCCAUGUGUAGCCGUGAAAUGCGUAGAGAUAUGGAGGAACACCAGUGGCGAAGGCGACUUUCUGGUCUGUAACUGACACUGAGGCGCGAAAACGUGGGGAGCAAACAGGAUUAGAUACCCGAGUAGUC
Molecule: ribosomal RNA, 466 nt
Filed under: uncultured bacterium
Lineage: Bacteria
Description: bacterial SSU rRNA
Rfam family: Bacterial small subunit ribosomal RNA
Source: RNAcentral